GAGGACACUGCCGACGGGGUGAAGAUGGACGCUGGGGAGGUGACCUUAGUGAACCACAGCUCCGCCUUCAGAGCCCACCUCCUGCCACACUCAGGCUUUCCAGAGGACCAGCUUGCACUUUCUGACCAGCAGAUCCUGCCUUUCAGGCAGGGGACUCUACACCGAGCUUUCACGGGUUCUACAAGCAGUGCAGCCUAUAACCCAGACUAUCACUCAGAUAACCCUUCCUCAGACAGUUUCCUUGGCUCAGGUGACAUAAGAACCUUUGGUCAAAGUGCAAAUGGACAAUGGAGAAACUCCACUCCAGCAUCAGGAUCAGCAUUACAAAAACCAAGAAA
Molecule: long non-coding RNA, 338 nt
Filed under: Rattus norvegicus (Norway rat)
Lineage: Eukaryota; Metazoa; Chordata; Mammalia; Rodentia; Muridae
Description: long non-coding RNA NONRATT027300
Source: RNAcentral